Molecule: ribosomal RNA, 2773 nt
Filed under: Escherichia coli
Lineage: Bacteria; Pseudomonadati; Pseudomonadota; Gammaproteobacteria; Enterobacterales; Enterobacteriaceae
Also listed under: 1 other name
Description: partial 23S ribosomal RNA
Rfam family: Bacterial large subunit ribosomal RNA
Source: RNAcentral
GGUUAAGCGACUAAGCGUACACGGUGGAUGCCCUGGCAGUCAGAGGCGAUGAAGGACGUGCUAAUCUGCGAUAAGCGUCGGUAAGGUGAUAUGAACCGUUAUAACCGGCGAUUUCCGAAUGGGGAAACCCAGUGUGUUUCGACACACUAUCAUUAACUGAAUCCAUAGGUUAAUGAGGCGAACCGGGGGAACUGAAACAUCUAAGUACCCCGAGGAAAAGAAAUCAACCGAGAUUCCCCCAGUAGCGGCGAGCGAACGGGGAGCAGCCCAGAGCCUGAAUCAGUGUGUGUGUUAGUGGAAGCGUCUGGAAAGGCGCGCGAUACAGGGUGACAGCCCCGUACACAAAAAUGCACAUACUGUGAGCUCGAUGAGUAGGGCGGGACACGUGGUAUCCUGUCUGAAUAUGGGGGGACCAUCCUCCAAGGCUAAAUACUCCUGACUGACCGAUAGUGAACCAGUACCGUGAGGGAAAGGCGAAAAGAACCCCGGCGAGGGGAGUGAAAAAGAACCUGAAACCGUGUACGUACAAGCAGUGGGAGCACGCUUCGGCGUGUGACUGCGUACCUUUUGUAUAAUGGGUCAGCGACUUAUAUUCUGUAGCAAGGUUAACCGAAUAGGGGAGCCGAAGGGAAACCGAGUCUUAACUGGGCGUUAAGUUGCAGGGUAUAGACCCGAAACCCGGUGAUCUAGCCAUGGGCAGGUUGAAGGUUGGGUAACACUAACUGGAGGACCGAACCGACUAAUGUUGAAAAAUUAGCGGAUGACUUGUGGCUGGGGGUGAAAGGCCAAUCAAACCGGGAGAUAGCUGGUUCUCCCCGAAAGCUAUUUAGGUAGCGCCUCGUGAAUUCAUCUCCGGGGGUAGAGCACUGUUUCGGCAAGGGGGUCAUCCCGACUUACCAACCCGAUGCAAACUGCGAAUACCGGAGAAUGUUAUCACGGGAGACACACGGCGGGUGCUAACGUCCGUCGUGAAGAGGGAAACAACCCAGACCGCCAGCUAAGGUCCCAAAGUCAUGGUUAAGUGGGAAACGAUGUGGGAAGGCCCAGACAGCCAGGAUGUUGGCUUAGAAGCAGCCAUCAUUUAAAGAAAGCGUAAUAGCUCACUGGUCGAGUCGGCCUGCGCGGAAGAUGUAACGGGGCUAAACCAUGCACCGAAGCUGCGGCAGCGACACUAUGUGUUGUUGGGUAGGGGAGCGUUCUGUAAGCCUGUGAAGGUGUGCUGUGAGGCAUGCUGGAGGUAUCAGAAGUGCGAAUGCUGACAUAAGUAACGAUAAAGCGGGUGAAAAGCCCGCUCGCCGGAAGACCAAGGGUUCCUGUCCAACGUUAAUCGGGGCAGGGUGAGUCGACCCCUAAGGCGAGGCCGAAAGGCGUAGUCGAUGGGAAACAGGUUAAUAUUCCUGUACUUGGUGUUACUGCGAAGGGGGGACGGAGAAGGCUAUGUUGGCCGGGCGACGGUUGUCCCGGUUUAAGCGUGUAGGCUGGUUUUCCAGGCAAAUCCGGAAAAUCAAGGCUGAGGCGUGAUGACGAGGCACUACGGUGCUGAAGCAACAAAUGCCCUGCUUCCAGGAAAAGCCUCUAAGCAUCAGGUAACAUUAAAUCGUACCCCAAACCGACACAGGUGGUCAGGUAGAGAAUACCAAGGCGCUUGAGAGAACUCGGGUGAAGGAACUAGGCAAAAUGGUGCCGUAACUUCGGGAGAAGGCACGCUGAUAUGUAGGUGAAGUCCCUCGCGGAUGGAGCUGAAAUCAGUCGAAGAUACCAGCUGGCUGCAACUGUUUAUUAAAAACACAGCACUGUGCAAACACGAAAGUGGACGUAUACGGUGUGACGCCUGCCCGGUGCCGGAAGGUUAAUUGAUGGGGUUAGCGGUAACGCGAAGCUCUUGAUCGAAGCCCCGGUAAACGGCGGCCGUAACUAUAACGGUCCUAAGGUAGCGAAAUUCCUUGUCGGGUAAGUUCCGACCUGCACGAAUGGCGUAAUGAUGGCCAGGCUGUCUCCACCCGAGACUCAGUGAAAUUGAACUCGCUGUGAAGAUGCAGUGUACCCGCGGCAAGACGGAAAGACCCCGUGAACCUUUACUAUAGCUUGACACUGAACAUUGAGCCUUGAUGUGUAGGAUAGGUGGGAGGCUUUGAAGUGUGGACGCCAGUCUGCAUGGAGCCGACCUUGAAAUACCACCCUUUAAUGUUUGAUGUUCUAACGUUGACCCGUAAUCCGGGUUGCGGACAGUGUCUGGUGGGUAGUUUGACUGGGGCGGUCUCCUCCUAAAGAGUAACGGAGGAGCACGAAGGUUGGCUAAUCCUGGUCGGACAUCAGGAGGUUAGUGCAAUGGCAUAAGCCAGCUUGACUGCGAGCGUGACGGCGCGAGCAGGUGCGAAAGCAGGUCAUAGUGAUCCGGUGGUUCUGAAUGGAAGGGCCAUCGCUCAACGGAUAAAAGGUACUCCGGGGAUAACAGGCUGAUACCGCCCAAGAGUUCAUAUCGACGGCGGUGUUUGGCACCUCGAUGUCGGCUCAUCACAUCCUGGGGCUGAAGUAGGUCCCAAGGGUAUGGCUGUUCGCCAUUUAAAGUGGUACGCGAGCUGGGUUUAGAACGUCGUGAGACAGUUCGGUCCCUAUCUGCCGUGGGCGCUGGAGAACUGAGGGGGGCUGCUCCUAGUACGAGAGGACCGGAGUGGACGCAUCACUGGUGUUCGGGUUGUCAUGCCAAUGGCACUGCCCGGUAGCUAAAUGCGGAAGAGAUAAGUGCUGAAAGCAUCUAAGCACGAAACUUGCC